AAAAUAGUUAGCUAAUACAUCACACUCACUAUAACCGGUGUGCAGCGUAUCAUUCCCCACCGCUGCUGCUGUAACUCCAGCCUGCUGCUUCAGGCCCACUCUGAGCUGCGAGAGUGUGGUUAUAAACCCGUACGCUGGAUCUGCUGCGAGCGGGAAGAGCUGGAGUGAGUCGGCUUCCAGGGCAAUUCAGUCAGACAGAAAGCGCAGAUAUUCUGAGGGGGCUGGUGGUGGUGGUGAGGGGGAAGCGUACAAGAUAUUUCCUCAGCGCUGCGGUAAGAAAAUCAAUAGGUACACUGCAGCUCCA
Molecule: long non-coding RNA, 304 nt
Filed under: Astyanax mexicanus (Mexican tetra)
Lineage: Eukaryota; Metazoa; Chordata; Actinopteri; Characiformes; Acestrorhamphidae
Description: lncRNA (ENSAMXG00005000575.1)
Source: RNAcentral